UAGUCAUAUGCUUGUCUCAAAGAUUAAGCCAUGCAAGUCUAAGUAUUAGUUUUGAUACAACGAAACUGCGAAUGGCUCAUUAUAACAGUUAUAAUUUACGUGAAGGUAAUUACUACACGGAUAACCGUGGUAAUUCUGGAGCUAAUACGUGCAUAUCACUGGACUUCGGAAAGGUGGCACUUAUUAGAUUAAGAACUAACCUAUGCUUGCAUAGUAGUUGGAUGAUCCAUAAUAAGUUGGCGAAUCGCAUGGCUAAGGCUGGCGAUAGUUCACUUAA
Molecule: ribosomal RNA, 277 nt
Filed under: uncultured eukaryote
Lineage: Eukaryota
Description: partial 18S ribosomal RNA
Rfam family: Eukaryotic small subunit ribosomal RNA
Source: RNAcentral